UUCAUUGUGUCCGCCAUCUAAAUAAUCGUCAACAUUAAAAUUUAAUUUUAUAGAUUUAGCAGCUGCUGGAUAUUUUUCCGCAUUUUCAUGAGCUAUUUGUUGCAGUGCUCUAAUUGCUAAAAAACUAGAAGACUUACUCCCGUAGGUAACUGUCAAUAGUUCGUAACAUUUUAAUUUUUCUGUUUCAGAAUUCCGCCAGAAAAUUCUUUGAAAUUUAGUUUGACUGUGGUGAAGCCAUACCUGUCUGCACAUUUUGGAAAUGUCUGCCGUUAUAACGUAGGUCAUUCAAAGAAAUAUUAUUGUCUGAUUUUGCUGAGAAGUCAAACACAACUCUGCAUGGGGUGGUAUCACUAUCCUUUAAAACUGGAUGAUGUGGAACAUAAUAUGCUGAACCAUCAUCUUCGAGAUCAUUGAUAUCAACCUCUAAUUCCCUAAGGUGUCCUAAUCGAAUUCACUAAUCUCGUCCAUUGUGGGUAAUUCACCUUUCAGGUUUAAACCUUCCCAGUCCCUCCUGGUCCUGUUAUCGAACUUUGAGACAAUUAAAUGUAUAAGAAGUGUAUCCCACUCCUUCACUGGUUGACCAAGAUUUUCUAAAGAUCGCAAAUUCUUAGUGAAUGAAUCAUAAAGAUUUUUUGAAUCGGAACUGAUUUUAGAUAAUAAAACUUUUGAAUUUCAUCAACUUGCUUAUUGUCAUGAACUAAUGAAAUGAAUAAAUCUCUGAAUUCAAGCCAUUUUUCGUACUUUCCGCAGAAACUAGGUAACUUUAAUGGUGGUAAUUUGACUGGAGUUAAA
This is a long non-coding RNA of Coccinella septempunctata (seven-spotted ladybird), 792 nucleotides long. RefSeq lists it as uncharacterized. The transcript has 3 exons. Lineage: Eukaryota; Metazoa; Arthropoda; Insecta; Coleoptera; Coccinellidae. The record is from RefSeq and is a predicted model, not a curated record.